UCAGAGAGCAAUACUUGCCUCAUUUCCCACAACUCCCUGAAGGGCCAUUGUGUGUGUUGAUUAGUCUCUGAAAUUAAGAAAAGGACUCAUAAAGCAUUUAAGGAUCUUUGCUGAUGUUUUUAACCUUAUACAUGUUUUCUUAUCUGGCUUAACCAGUUUUGAAAGACAAGCGUUUCAUCGUCUUGAGAACGCUGACUUAUGAUGCCCUUAAUUGGCAUUAAGGAAACAAACUCUGGGAAAGAAUGAUGAUGUCCUGUUACAUUCUCAUCUUUGUAUUGCUCUCUCAAGGGCACCCAGCCUCCCUGGGGAGGUGAAGGCUACCUUUACACGUCUUCCCAUCCAACUGGAGAGUGAAUCCAACAGGACAACUGCAGUGGACACCUGUCGAAGUAUCCUUACAGGUGCGGUCACAGCCUCCAUUGUUGACAGCACACGUUUCUGGCAAGGAGAAAUAUGGGGGAGGAGGAGCCAGAAGAAGAAACAGCUCGAAGAAUUGACUAUUGUUGCCUCUGGCAAAAGGGAUGAGGAAAUGGGAAGUUAUGAGACAAGGAAAUGAUGAGUUUCAUUACAAGCCUAGAAGUAAUUAAGUUUCUGUGUUAUUCAUUUGUACUAUUUUCACUUAAGACAAUGAAAAAUUAUAAUUUCUAAAGAGCUCAGAAAGGUUACCUGCUUGGUAACCAAUGGCUGUAUGAUAUGUUGCCUGACUGUUAAAUCCAGAAACUGUCAAAAGAUGGGUUUUGUUUAGGCUGAGCCAGACUUUCUCCAGAAGGAGUAACGCGCCAAAGGAUCUGUCUGACUCCCACCCCCACGGCCACCACUUCUAUUUCUGCUCAUCUCCAGCUUGACUGCUGGACCUUCAGGCAGGCCUUCCCUUGUCCCACAGCCAAGUGCUGCCCCUCUCCAUUCAUCUCUUCUACCAUUAUCAUCAGCUGAGUCAGAAAUAGAAGACUCAGUGGACACAAAAAAAGACUAGCCACCAUUCUGAGCUAGAGGCUGCUUCAGAGGAAGAGAGCUGACCUCAAUGACCACCCACUCAGUCCCAGGCACUAGACUCUGGGCACCUUUCCAUAUUAUUAUUUUAAUUGAGCAUCCCAACUGAUAUGGUCAGGCUUUAUGUCCCCACUCAAAUCUCAUCCUGAAUUAUAAUCCCCGUAAUCCCCUCGUGUCAAGGGAGAGACCAGGUGGAGGUGACUGGAUUUUGGGGGCGGUUCCCAUGCUGUUCUCAUGAUAGAGUGAGAUCAUGAGAUCUUGUGGUUUUACAAGUGUUUGGUAGUUCCUCCUGCAUUUAUCCUACCACCUUGUGAAGAAGGUACCUUGCUUUCCCUUUGCCAUCCACCAUGAUUAUAAGUUUCCUGAGGCCUCCCCAGCCAUGUGGAACUGUGAGUCAAUUAAGCCUCUUUUCUUUAUCAAUUACCCAGUCUCAGGUAGUUCUUUAUAGCAGUAUGAAAAUGGGCGAAAACCCUGGCCCUAAGAGGUAGCCUUUACUACAUCCAUUUCAAAGAAAGACCAAGAGACAGAGCCUCAGGGCAGUUUGCCAAGUCUUACAGCUAGGUGGGGGCUGCAUUGGGAUGUUAA
Molecule: long non-coding RNA, 1575 nt
Organism: Symphalangus syndactylus (siamang)
Lineage: Eukaryota; Metazoa; Chordata; Mammalia; Primates; Hylobatidae
Source: RefSeq, a predicted model, not a curated record